Molecule: ribosomal RNA, 374 nt
Filed under: uncultured bacterium
Lineage: Bacteria
Description: bacterial SSU rRNA
Rfam family: Bacterial small subunit ribosomal RNA
Source: RNAcentral
UACGUAGGGUGCGAGCGUUAAUCGGAAUUACUGGGCGUAAAGCGUGCGCAGGCGGUUCGUGAUGUCUGAUGUGAAAGCCCCGGGCUCAACCUGGGAAUUGCAUUGGAAACUAGCGGGCUGGAGUGUGGCAGAGGGGGGUGGAAUUCCACGUGUAGCAGUGAAAUGCGUAGAGAUGUGGAGGAACACCGAUGGCGAAGGCAGCCCCCUGGGCUAACACUGACGCUCAUGCACGAAAGCGUGGGGAGCAAACAGGAUUAGAUACCCUGGUAGUCCACGCCCUAAACGAUGGCAACUGGGUGUUGGGGAAGCGAUUUCUCAGUACCGUAGCUAACGCGUGAAGUUGCCCGCCUGGGGAGUACGGCCGCAAGGUUAAA